Nothoprocta perdicaria is the source of this 1617-nucleotide long non-coding RNA. RefSeq lists it as uncharacterized. Lineage: Eukaryota; Metazoa; Chordata; Aves; Tinamiformes; Tinamidae. The record is from RefSeq and is a predicted model, not a curated record. The transcript has 3 exons.
AGGCGUCUGCUCAGCGAGAUACCCGCUCGCCGAGACUGCGUCGGGAGUCCUGAGCAAAACCAAGCCGCAAGCGCCCCGCGGGCAGAGGCGGGAGGUGGUUUUCUGCUCUGUCGUUCGCUGUAAAGAGCUGUGGAAAAGAUGCCGGAAUCCUGCGGACUUUCCACUGGAAAAUCAAAGAAAUCAAACUGGAAAAAGUGGCGCUGCUGACAUCAGACAAAAAGUAUCUCUUGGAGAAGGCAGAAUUGGCAGACGCUGGUGGAUGCUAGAGAAUCCCAUGAUAGGAGUAAGGUAACGCCUACUGUGUAAAUCCUUCACAAUGUACUAUAGCAAGAGGGGUUUCUGGACAGCCAGACCCUGCUGUCUGGUUUCUGAGGGAGCUACAUGUGCUGAAGAAGAGAUGGGGAAGGAGAAGAGCCAUCUCCAACAUGUGCUGUAGCCUGGGGUCGCUUCAGACACAGUGUCUCUCUUUGUUGGGAUACAAACUUGGAAGGAUUGCAUAGCAUUUCAGUAAGUGAAAAUGGUGUUAGCUGUGCAGACUGAACUGAGUAAGAGGGAAAUGAAAUUACUCAAAUAUACCCAUGUGUUGACAUACCAGACUCUACUAAUAAGAGAAUAAAUAUGCUGCUACUCUCAAAGACACUGAGAGUUGGAGCAUGGUGUGGGAAGAGCAAAAUACAGUCUGCCACAGAACAAAGUUCUAUAUAUGGCUAAAGUACCAGACAUUUGUACUUCAGUGCCACAUGGAGCCAGUGUCACUUGGCUAGAAGCUGCCAUGUUCCUGAGGACUAGACAGCAGUAUGAGGGCUGUCGACUGCUUUACAACCUACAUGGUCCCUGCAUUAUUUUGGGUGCUUGGAAUUCUGAAGAAACAAACUCUUGAACAAAUGGUCUUCAGCAGCAGAACCUUCCCUUGAUUUUCUGUUGUGCUGAACAGCAGACUGCUGACAUGCUGUUUUGAUAAGAAAUGCCACCAUCUGAUGUGGUACAAUCUGCAAUUUGUCUUCCACCUGUCACAAGGGCAGGCGGCAUCUGUCACCUUUACAGCUAGUGUAUUUGUGGCUGGUUAAACAGCAUUUGUUUAUCACAAAGUCACCGGAUGGAGCUGUGCCUCAUAGCACCACAGAUAAGUGGUGUAAAAUUUUACAAAAAAAAACAUGGCAUUUGAUUCUGAUAUUGCUAAUACUGGUAUUUAUUGGUAACUUGGUAGUAGCAUCUUCCCAUUGGAAACAGAACCUUGGAAAAACUCAAGUCGCACUCAUAGCAAUGUCUAGAGGAAAACACAUUUCAAAUCUCUGACUCCAGGACUUGAAGUGAAGCUGUCCAUGGUGAAUAUGGAGGAGAAGGUGAGGUCCUAAUUCGUGGCUUCGUGCGCUCCUUGCAGGUUCCUCUUGCUUGGACAAAGAGAAAAUCUAUCACAAACUGAAGAUGUCCUACAUCAUUAAUUGAACCAUUCUCUUCUAUGCAGUAGAAAGCAGCAAGAUAAACAUCCAGAAAGACUUUAUUUGCCUUAUUUUAAAAGGAGAGUGCUGCAUAAUAAGGGUAAAAGUGCAAAGCCCUGUUACUGAUCUGCUCUGAAGUCAAAACAGAGACCAGAAAGCCUCAGCAGCUCCUCUGAUC